Molecule: long non-coding RNA, 510 nt
Filed under: Panax ginseng (ginseng)
Lineage: Eukaryota; Viridiplantae; Streptophyta; Magnoliopsida; Apiales; Araliaceae
Description: long non-coding RNA (PGIN_LNC011833)
Source: RNAcentral
CUUAUUUCAAGUAUAAUUCGAAAUGACAACAAAUUCCAUAAUCAAUUGAGUUUGCUUCAAUAACAAAUACUUUGCCCUGGUCUCAAUAACUUUGAAGGUUUGAUAUGUAUACAAGAAUGUUAGAAACUACUACAAGGAACAUUGUUCUAUCACAUAGCUACAACAAGCCAUUGGGAAAAGGAUCAUCUAAACAAUAUUCAAAACAAAAUAUUGAAACUCCUACACUAUAGAAAAGUAGUGCCACCAAAAUUAUGGUGCAAAAGAUUGUGUGCAAUGUGAUCUCUAGCCUGCAUUGAACUCACUGACCUCACACUAUUCUCAGCCACCAUUUCAUCAUCAAACAUAUCAAACCUCAAUUCAGGCUCCAAACUCUCAUUGUUCAUCUCACAUAUAUUAUGCAAAACACAGCAGGCUCCAAGAACCACAGGCAAAUCUUGAAGCUUCACCUCUGUUCUCUUUUGUAAGCAAGUCCACCUUGCUUUUAGCCUCAUAAAAGCCUCUUUUGCAACC